This is a small nucleolar RNA of Sciurus vulgaris (Eurasian red squirrel), 129 nucleotides long. The record is from Ensembl. NCBI's taxonomy places the organism in Eukaryota, Metazoa, Chordata, Mammalia, Rodentia, Sciuridae.
GGAGUGUGCUCAGAGCAGGGGCCUGAAGAAUGGGUCCUCUGUUUAUAACACACCCAAUAGGAAUCUGGGGUUUUGAAAGGAGGGGCACAAAAAUGGUCUGGUCUACCUAUGAACAAAUGCCCUACAUUU